UUGCAUCUGACCAUUCCAUACUUUUCGGUUAUUUGAAUCGUUAAAGCACAAAGGCAAGAAACUCUUUAAAAGGGGGGGUUUUAGAAGCCCUAAAAAUCACAGAUUACAAAUUCUCAACAACUGCGAUCGACGAGAGGCAUUUUUUUCAAAGGUUCGCAUCGACAGAGCGAUACCAACGAUGACAGUAUUCUGCUCCCCCUCCAUGUAAUAGAGGCUUGAUUCCACUUGCAUCUAUACUGUUUCUUCUGCCACCUACUCAAGGAUUAUGGGAUAGCCCUUGACGAGUUAUCUGAGUUCUCCUGAUGGAUUGUGAUGGCCUACUUUAUCGAUUGUUGUCGAUGCGAUGAGAUGCCACUGCUCGCUGUUUUUCAACGUCUAUACCAAUUGAAGGCCCACAAUCGAAGGAAGUCAUCAGGCACAACUCGCAAUACUGAAGAUAGUUUGGAGGAGUCUACUAGCUUGUCACGGGAAAUCGACGAAUAUGUGGACGUGCGAGCUUCUAUGUUGGAUACACGCAAGAAGCGCAGAACUAACAUUGGGGAUGUUAAUGUUGUGCUAAGUAGCGAGGAGGAGAAGAUAGUGAAAUAUUAGAACAGUGCCGAAAAAAGAGGACAAACCGCUCUGGACCUUUUGUUAUUGUUGUUGUCACUCCCAUUUCCCCUGUUGCGAGCUCACUUUCUGCUGCUCAUGUAAGCUUACCUGUUGUUCCUGCUAACUCACCCCUUGUCGAUCCUUUUUCUUAUCCCCCAACUACGAAGGGGACUUUAAAUGAAGGAGUUUUUAGCACUAUCGUUGAGCAUGGUGUAGCUGCUGCACCUAUAAAAUUUGUUACAAUAGGUGGUGAGAUUGGAAAACUGUUCCCUUAGCACGAGCAUAUGAGCAUGAUGGAAUUCCCUUAUAGUCCCAACGAUGCCACCAACCACCUGAAGAUUUGUGUGCCAGAAGUAGCUAAAGAGCGUAUGAGUUCGGUUGGUUUGUCUAGUGGUGUGAAGAAGCCUUUUCUGCAAGAAUUAGCUCUAUCCCUACAAGUUCUUUUGGCUAAGGCUAGCAUGGUUGGUUUGGGUCUCAAGGAAGGUAUAAGCGAAGUUGAAGUCAACAAGAGGGAGCUCGAUGAUUCUUACCAGAAUGUUAUGCGAGCUUUAAAGAGAGCUUGCGAGCUCCAUUCCAAACUAAAUGAAGAAAACCAAGACAUGUAGGGGAAGAAUAAGGACUUGGCUAAACGUCUGGUGAUCGUUGAGGGCAAGGUAAUGAAAUUAUCCAAGGAGGUCGCGGCUGAAAGAACAGAAAAAUAAAGCGUGGAUGCUACUAUGAAGAAGAUGGUUGAAGAACAUAAGGUCACUAUGAGCAAAAUGGCUAAAGAGUAGAAGGCUACAAUGGUGAGUUUAGUACAGAGGCAUAUUGAAGCUUUGAAAGAUUUUAAGAAUGAAACUCUUCAAAAUUUUAACAACUUCCUGCCUGAGCUGAAGGCCAAUAUAUUGCCGCAUACGCAAGUUGCUAGUGGCCCUUUUAAUGCACGCAGAGUUGAUCUUGAUGCUCUCUGUGACGUUGCCAAUGAUCAAAUGGAAUUUGAUGUCCGCUUCCCUUUUGGAGCUGAAUGGGAAGAGUUCACAUCCAAAUGGAGGAAUUGUAAAGAUUUUUAAUUAGGCAAAGAUCUAAGUGAAACUAGUGUUGCUACUGCCAACAAA
This is a long non-coding RNA of Gossypium arboreum, 1685 nucleotides long. RefSeq lists it as uncharacterized. The record is from RefSeq and is a predicted model, not a curated record. Lineage: Eukaryota; Viridiplantae; Streptophyta; Magnoliopsida; Malvales; Malvaceae. The transcript has 3 exons.